Long non-coding RNA from Colius striatus (speckled mousebird), 331 nucleotides. RefSeq lists it as uncharacterized. Lineage: Eukaryota; Metazoa; Chordata; Aves; Coliiformes; Coliidae. The record is from RefSeq and is a predicted model, not a curated record. The transcript is spliced from 5 exons.
AGAUCUUGCUGUAUCUGGUUCUGUUCUUGAAAAGACAUGACAAAGCUCCAACACAGAUGACAGUGAAACUACCACAUCUAUUGUCAUAACAAUCCCAGGAUUGCCUUUCAAGGAAAAUCCAGCAGUUCACACAGACAGGCUUCAGCAGUGCUUAAAUUCCGAUCCUUUGAACACACAUAGAACUGAAAAUGAGCAACAGAUCACAGAAACAUGGACUCACUGAGGCUGUAAGGGACCACUGAAAAUGGCUCACACAGCUCCAACCACUAGCACUUAUCUUGUGUCCUGGGUGGAAGAAGGCACGACUUGGUUUUGAGCUACUGAAAACAUA